Molecule: ribosomal RNA, 468 nt
Filed under: uncultured bacterium
Lineage: Bacteria
Description: partial 16S ribosomal RNA
Rfam family: Bacterial small subunit ribosomal RNA
Source: RNAcentral
GACGAACGCUGGCGGCGUGCUUAACACAUGCAAGUCGAACGGAAAGGCCCUGCUUUUGUGGGGUGCUCGAGUGGCGAACGGGUGAGUAACACGUGAGUAACCUGCCCUUGGCUUUGGGAUAACUUCAGGAAACUGGGGCUAAUACCGGAUAGGAGCUCCUGCUGCAUGGUGGGGGUUGGAAAGUUUCGGCGGUUGGGGAUGGACUCGCGGCUUAUCAGCUUGUUGGUGGGGUAGUGGCUUACCAAGGCUCUGACGGGUAGCCGGCCUGAGAGGGUGACCGGCCACAUUGGGACUGAGAUACGGCCCAGACUCCUACGGGAGGCAGCAGUGGGGAAUAUUGCACAAUGGGCGGAAGCCUGAUGCAGCAACGCCGCGUGCGGGAUGACGGCCUUCGGGUUGUAAACCGCUUUCGCCUGUGACGAAGCGUGAGUGACGGUAAUGGGUAAAGAAGCACCGGCUAACUACGUG